CAUAAUUCUUUUUUUGCAAUCUAAAGAGUUUUUUUUGCAGUCAGUAGGAGAGGUGACGACGGAGUGCAAGAAGAGACCUAUCAAGGGGUGGUGACGGAGUGUUAGAGGAGGCAAGGGGUAAGAGAGGUGGUGUUGGUCGCGAGGGACCAGUCCGGCGGGGGAGGGGAAGCAGUGGUGGCGGCCGCGAGGGACCAGUCCGACGGGAGAGGAAGCAGUGGUCGCAGCGGCGAGGGAUCGUCCGGCGGGGAGGGGAAGCUUAGUCUAGCGUCUUCACCGGCCCCUCUAGGAGCUCGAGUCGUACGAGCGCGGUCACCAUCCGUGGCAACCUACGCCUGCGCCUCCGAGCCCUGAACGUGCGGGAUGAGAUGGGACAAGGAAGGUUAGGCCGGGGCUUCACGAGCUCCUCCGUGAGCUCCAGCCGUACGAGUGGCCGCUGCGACCCAGGGAGGUAAGAGGACCAAGGGAGUGGCAGCGGUUGUACUCGGAGAGGUGGGAGAGGGCGCGCUAACAGGUCCAGAUCGGGGAAGACCAACACUCACCUAGGUUCUCAAGUGUACUACGCCAUAGAAAAACUUUCUACUAUGUAAUAGAAGUAUUUUCUUUCCUUCAACCUCUUCAAUAAUGACUUCUCCUUAAGUCACCAUACACGAAGAGUUCUCGAUUUGACCUUGUUCUUCACGUACUGAGAGUACGGAUGUGAUUGAUUAGUCUGAAGGGCUUCCUCUUCUUCCUCCACGCCUUUCUCCUACCCUCGUUGUUUAGACUUAGUUUCUCCCACUCUUAAUGAAUAGCUACUGAGCCCGUAGUUGAGAACUAAAAGCCGCCUUGUGUGUCCCAGUCUUGUUGACCAGACCCGGCAACGCGGGUCAUUUACGGUAGUUUUUAUUUAAGGGAUGGAUGUUCUUACCAUACUUACCCUAUCAGUAGUUUAAACGACUACUCGGUCUUUGCGGUACUGAAUUCCUCAGACAACGGUUUCUCUGUCGUCUAGACGAACUAGCCGCAGUCACAGAAAGUCAGGCGCUCGAGCGUUACUUUAAACUCUUCCCGGAGUCAUGACGGUGUAAUAAUAGAUUGCUCCAAUUUACAUUUGUUCACCGAAAUAACCUCGCUAUGUAGGAAGACUUAUUAGAUUUCUCACAUAACCUCAGUGACUCUCCAGUUCAUCGACCGUUUAUAUUCCUACUUUAACUCCUUAGCCAUAGAUACCACCUAUAAAAUCGUCAAGUCGACAGGUUUUGUCUUUUACUCAACGAAGUCGUCUUUUGGCUCCAGUGCUCUUAUCGCUGAAGUGAUUUUGACCGAAGACUUCUACGAUCCUCUUAACAACUGCUUCUUGCUUGAUUACGUGCGUACCUCUAACUUUUACGAUCUCGACAACAUGUUUCUCAAGUUUUUCAUGAAUUUCUCUUUCUCUUGUCAAGUGUUUCUUAAUCUUUCGUCAACGUCGGGUGGAUUAUCCUGACGAACUAAGGCAGCUCAUACCUUUUUCGCUUUCCAUAAAAUGCCAGAGAAAACGCAAGAAGAAUACAAUGAACGUAUAAAAGACACCAUAGUAAGUUCAGUAGAUGACUACAGAAGGAACCCAAAGAGAGUUUUCGCUUUCCAUUUUUGUUGUACUAUCGUUUACUCAUACCUUUUUCGUGUUAGUAAAAUGGAAGAUAUAAAAAUAGACGUUAAUGUAGUCUGCACGGGUAUCGAAAUCCUCCUAUACAACUAAGUAAUACGCUCUAACUACAUAGUUGGCUCGAUCGACCCAGUAGAUUAUAUUGUACGAACCAAUCAUAAAUAAUUUUACCGACUUGGUACUUACGAUCCUACAUUGUAUUUUAUUAGAAUGAACUUAAUGUUUCCCCUGCUUCUAGUUGAAAGGACACGAAUAGUAGAGUGCACCCAAACUAAUCGACGGGGUUGUAUACUAGACGGGGUUGUAAUCAAGGAUAACAUUAGGUCGUACCCGCAAGUCUUUCGUUUCUCUUCAAUUUGUAUUAGUGUUUAUCAUACUAACAGUUUAUGCGUGUAUAUUGAUUGCUGUAACAUUUAGGUGGUUAUACAUGGUCCCUAGUGUAUACUUCUAACAACUUGUAAACACUAUAGUGUAUCUCAUGCCGCCACUUGUUAGCCGGGCAGCAGAUCUACCAAAUAUUUUGGUAGGCUGAAGAAUCACGCUAUUCUACGGGCGGAGGUGCGCAACUAUUCUAGGGAUACCAGAUGGUAAAAAUGUUGUCCAUACUCUCAAUCUCUUGUUUUUUUCAUACAUGUUUAGUGAAUCCAUCUACAACUAUGUUGUAGAUACUUUGGUUGUGCCCCUUGUAGAUACUUCAGUCCAAUGAUAUUGCUAAUUAAACGUAUGAUAUCCAUAAGUCUUUUUGGGUUCUCAUCAGUCGUUUUAGUACGAAUUUAUGAAUGGCCAGAAACUUUCCCUACCGACUAAUAGGAGAACAUUGGACUGGUAUAGGAGGAGAAAAAAGAAGGCUAUUCUAAGUGCGGAGAUACGCAACUUGACGAGGGAACAAAGCGGUUACAAAAAAAGAAGUAAUGUAUGUCGAUGACAACGUACGACGAGCCUUCAAAACAGUAGACGUAAUGCAAUUCGCAUUUUUGGUGUUUCGGGUAAUUCGAGUAGACCCUUUUACCUGAUUUGGAGAGACUAGGCGAUGGCCUCUACAGCUAAACCUUCGACAUAUUCGUACGGACACUUAUGGAACUCAUAGUGGAGCAUCGAAUCAGUAUGGUAGGAAUAAUAAGAGUCUUAUGCUGCCUUAGGGCAGCAAACUUCCAAGGGCGGGAUGUAGAAUCGUUAGUUGUUUUAUAUGCUAUACGUGCUUUGUAAUCGUCGUUAGAACUGUGUCAGAAUAUGGACGAGGGCAGCACAUUUAUAGCACUUAUAAACGUACAUUCCCAUACUUCAAACGUAACAUCAGAGGUUGUAAAUAGGGCGAGCAUUCCUGACGUUGUGUAUUUUACGUAAGACGGUGAAAGUCUUUACGUGCACUCCGUUGUAAAUAUUGGUUAGAAGCGUGUCAUAAUAUGGACUAAGGCAGCACAUUUGCAAUAGUUGUUAAAGUCGAUGCCCAUACUACGAGCGUAACACAAGACGUAGUGAAGAGGGCGAACAUUCUGGACCUUCUGUAAUACGUAUGUCAGACAGUGACAGUCUAUAAGUCCAGAGCGUUGAUUUGUUUUUGUACCAUCUGACGUAGUAUGGACAUCAAUGCAGUAGAAGACCAACUACAAGCGCACGGCACGAAAAACUUAAGGGGUAUACGUUGAUAACUUACCUUUUUUAGUACUUCUGUCUUUACCAUCAAGAAACUACUAGAAGUGGUUGUACCAUUAAAGAAGAUGUAGAAACUGUAAGACGUUCCCAAUAACAAGAUGUAUAUAUGACGUUAACAUAAAAUAAGAUGUAUAUAUGACGUUACCGUGAAAGUAGAUGUAGAAGAUGUAGAGACAUGAAAUAAUCUUACGUUCACAAAAACAAGAUAGAAAUCAAGUCGUGUUCACCUUUGUAUGAGAACCCAGGACAUACCAAAUACAAAAGAAAAAACGGUAUAAGUGAGUUCACGUCCUACGUCCUAUGAGGAACCAUGUUUUUUUUACGGUUAACGGUUGACAUUUGUACACAUGAACUCAGAUAAAAAUUGUACUUUUUUUGGAUUUCACACACGUUGUCUUUAGUUAGAGCGUCCGCCUAGGUAGGGACACUUUCGUGAACGGUACCGACAUACUGUACGCUACCUACAUACCCGACACUCUACAUACUCUACGCUAACAUACCGUAAACUCUACAUACUCUACGCUAACUGCAUACUCUACCAAACAUAUGGAUAAAAAGCCUAGGUCCUGCACAAGACCGGCCUAGGACCUGCACAGGCACAUAUGAGCAGAUCCUAGUCGCGGCCUAGGACCUAGUUCCCGCUCCUCAAGUCGCGCCGCCGCUUCACUACCUCCCGCCGCCGCUGGACUAGGUCCUGGUCGCGGCCUAGCAGCUCCACAAGUCGCGCCGCCGCUUCACUACCUCCCAGCGCCGCUGGAACAGGUCAUAGCUGCGCCUACCUCCUGCUGCUCACUUCGUCCCCGCCGCUGGAGCUGGUGCUACCUCCCGCCGCUGCUACCUCCCGUCGCUGACUUCGCGCAGCCGCGUCCCUACAUCCCGCCGGUGCUUCCCUCUGGAGUGAGCUAUUGUCCUGAGCAGCGAGGAUGCACACAGGCGUACCAAAAAGACAGCGACCAAUUGGCAGCAUCUAAUAAAACAGCGUCCAAUUGGAAGCAUGCAGAUAACUCCCAGUGUACACCUAUCCACGCCCAAGCCCGGAGUCCUCCUCCAAAAAAACCAAACACCACCGAAUCAGUCUCCACCCUCCUCCAUGGUUUUAUUUGGUACCCUCCACCCUGAUUUUUUUGGACCUUCGCUCUGAUGGUUGACGAGG
RNAcentral lists this ribosomal RNA (4433 nucleotides) under Triticum aestivum (bread wheat). RNAcentral's name for it is "partial small subunit ribosomal RNA". The record is from RNAcentral. Lineage: Eukaryota; Viridiplantae; Streptophyta; Magnoliopsida; Poales; Poaceae.